This 429-nucleotide ribosomal RNA is filed under the name Gemmatimonadota bacterium. Its description in RNAcentral is "Gemmatimonadetes bacterium partial 16S ribosomal RNA". It matches the Rfam family "Bacterial small subunit ribosomal RNA", at positions 355 to 776 of the family's 1533-position model. Lineage: Bacteria; Pseudomonadati; Gemmatimonadota. The record is from RNAcentral.
UAGGGAAUCUUCGGCAAUGGACGAAAGUCUGACCGAGCAACGCCGCGUGAGUGAAGAAGGUUUUCGGAUCGUAAAACUCUGUUGUUAGAGAAGAACAAGGACGUUAGUAACUGAACGUCCCCUGACGGUAUCUAACCAGAAAGCCACGGCUAACUACGUGCCAGCAGCCGCGGUAAUACGUAGGUGGCAAGCGUUGUCCGGAUUUAUUGGGCGUAAAGCGAGCGCAGGCGGUUUCUUAAGUCUGAUGUGAAAGCCCCCGGCUCAACCGGGGAGGGUCAUUGGAAACUGGGAGACUUGAGUGCAGAAGAGGAGAGUGGAAUUCCAUGUGUAGCGGUGAAAUGCUUAGAUAUAUGGAGGAACACCAGUGGCGAAGGCGGCUCUCUGGUCUGUAACUGACGCUGAGGCUCGAAAGCGUGGGGAGCAAACAGG